This 417-nucleotide ribosomal RNA is filed under the name uncultured bacterium. RNAcentral's name for it is "bacterial SSU rRNA". It matches the Rfam family "Bacterial small subunit ribosomal RNA", at positions 91 to 518 of the family's 1533-position model. The record is from RNAcentral.
UCGAGUGGCGGACGGGUGAGUAACGCGUGAGCAACCUGUCCCAGACAGGGGAAUAACACUUGGAAACAGGUGCUAAUACCGCAUAAGACCACGGGGUCGCAUGGCUCUGGGGUAAAAGGAGUAAAUCCGGUUUGGGGUGGGCUCGCGUCCGAUUAGAUAGUUGGUGAGGUAACGGCCCACCAAGUCGACGAUCGGUAGCCGACCUGAGAGGGUGAUCGGCCACAUUGGAACUGAGAGACGGUCCAAACUCCUACGGGAGGCAGCAGUGGGGAAUAUUGGGCAAUGGGCGAAAGCCUGAACCCCAGCAACGCCGCGUGAGUGAAGAAGGCUUUCGGGUUGUAAAGCUCUGUUAUGAGGGACGAAGGAAGUGACGGUACCUCAUAAGGAAGCCCCGGCUAACUACGUGCCAGCCGCUGC